UUUUAAUUUAUAUAACAACGAAUUGUUAAAUAAUUCGUUUGAUUUUUUUUUGUUCUUUAUUCCUACAGUAUUUUUAUUACUCAUUAUCAGGAAUCGUGUUGAAAGUUAUUGCAGAGAUCUACUCAACUAAAAUGAGUCUAAAACCGUUCAAUAAGUCUCUCUCACUUGGUUCUGUGGAGGGUGGCAGCCCAGUGCCCCUGCCGAGAGGUCGUUCACCUUUCAACAGUAUUUUGUCAAGAGACGAUACAUCCGUAGCAGCGCGUGCAAUGUAUUUCGGUGCAAUAUGACGCCGUCGAGGUCAAUGCCCGUCCUUACUCCGGACUCAAGGAAGAAAAGGAAAAAAAAUAAAAGGACGAAGGUGAAGAAGAAUUAUUGAUGAUAAAAA
Microplitis demolitor is the source of this 385-nucleotide long non-coding RNA. RefSeq lists it as uncharacterized. Lineage: Eukaryota; Metazoa; Arthropoda; Insecta; Hymenoptera; Braconidae. The record is from RefSeq and is a predicted model, not a curated record. The transcript has 4 exons.